This 863-nucleotide ribosomal RNA is filed under the name uncultured bacterium. Its description in RNAcentral is "bacterial SSU rRNA". It matches the Rfam family "Bacterial small subunit ribosomal RNA", at positions 58 to 916 of the family's 1533-position model. The record is from RNAcentral.
CAAGUCGAACGGCAGCACGGGAGCAAUCCUGGUGGCGAGUGGCGAACGGGUGAGUAAUAUAUCGGAACGUGCCCAGUCGUGGGGGAUAACUACUCGAAAGAGUGGCUAAUACCGCAUACGAUCUCUGGAUGAAAGCGGGGGACCUUCGGGCCUCGCGCGAUUGGAGCGGCCGAUAUCAGAUUAGGUAGUUGGUAGGGUAAAAGCCUACCAAGCCUACGAUCUGUAGCUGGUCGGAGAGGACGACCAGCCACACUGGAACUGAGACACGGUCCAGACUCCUACGGGAGGCAGCAGUGGGGAAUUUUGGACAAUGGGCGAAAGCCUGAUCCAGCAAUGCCGCGUGCAGGACGAAGGCCUUCGGGUUGUAAACUGCUUUUGUACGGAACGAAAAGGUAGCUCCUAAUACGAGCUGCCGAUGACGGUACCGUAAGAAUAAGCACCGGCUAACUACGUGCCAGCAGCCGCGGUAAUACGUAGGGUGCAAGCGUUAAUCGGAAUUACUGGGCGUAAAGCGUGCGCAGGCGGUUUUGUAAGAUAGAUGUGAAAUCCCCGGGCUCAACCUGGGAACUGCAUAUAUGACUGCAAAGCUAGAGUACGGUAGAGGGGGAUGGAAUUCCGCGUGUAGCAGUGAAAUGCGUAGAUAUGCGGAGGAACACCGAUGGCGAAGGCAAUCCCCUGGACCUGUACUGACGCUCAUGCACGAAAGCGUGGGGAGCAAACAGGAUUAGAUACCCUGGUAGUCCACGCCCUAAACGAUGUCAACUGGUUGUUGGGUCUUUACUGACUCAGUAACGUAGCUAACGCGUGAAGUUGACCGCCUGGGGAGUACGGGCCGCAAGGUUGAAACUCAAAGGAAUUGACGG